Molecule: long non-coding RNA, 881 nt
Organism: Triplophysa dalaica
Lineage: Eukaryota; Metazoa; Chordata; Actinopteri; Cypriniformes; Nemacheilidae
Exons: 2
Source: RefSeq, a predicted model, not a curated record
AUCGCACGAGUGAGCUGAACUUCUGCUCCGGUUGUAGUGUACUAUUCACAAUUUGGUACUUUAUGGAGAAAUUAAUUUCGUUAAGGAAAACAGAUAUCGCUGCGUAUUUUUUUAACAGGACGUCAGUGUUGGCUAUGUAAUCCUCGCUUCUUCCUGUAAUUAAAGGGUUUAUUGGAAUUUGAUUUUUUUACAGUGGUCUCCAUGGUUUCCUAUGGCGUCAUUUGAGAAUGUUUGAUUACUGAAAGCAGGUAAGCCACUGACUAACGCACAUUGCGCCUAUUCUCCAUCCCACUGUGCGUGUGACAGCGGCUAACCAGCUUUUGGAUGUAUGCCUGACUUCGUGGAAACGUCCCACGACGGAUAUAUACAGUUUAAGCGACACCUUUGGGUGCACGUGGAUCUACAGGUAAAGCGCGGUGCUUGCAAUACCAAGGUGAAGGGUUCGAAUCCUAUUUUAACACGGAAUAGGAUGAAAUGUAUAUCUCUAUUACACUUGUAGAGGAUUUGCAUUAGCGUCUGCCAAAUGCAUGAACGACGCUUGUCGUUAUGACGUCAGCCUUAAUGUACGUGCGGGGCGUCACUGUCAUGUAUCUGCUAUAUCAUACGUGUCCUGAAGCUAGAGGAUGUGUAUUUUGUAGAAUGUGUGUAACACGCUGUAUUGUAUAUGUUAUCGCUUGACUUGUAGCUGUAGUUGCUGCUAUUGUGUGUGUAAUUUUGCCGGUGAACUUCUGAACUUGUAGCUUUAUGUAAGAGCAGUUACAGUUGGAUGUGCUGGUGUAACUGCUUGUGAAUUAUAACAACACUGAUACAUAUUGUGACUUUGUAGCCAACGUUUGUGUUAUUUCCUGUUUAUUUUUAAUAAAAUUAUUAAAUAAAGUAAA